RNAcentral lists this ribosomal RNA (425 nucleotides) under uncultured bacterium. RNAcentral's name for it is "partial 16S ribosomal RNA". It matches the Rfam family "Bacterial small subunit ribosomal RNA", at positions 354 to 796 of the family's 1533-position model. The record is from RNAcentral.
GUGGGGAAUCUUGCGCAAUGGGCGAAAGCCUGACGCAGCCAUGCCGCGUGAAUGAUGAAGGUCUUAGGAUUGUAAAAUUCUUUCACCUGGGACGAUAAUGACGGUACCCGGAGAAGAAGCCCCGGCUAACUUCGUGCCAGCAGCCGCGGUAAUACGAAGGGGGCUAGCGUUGCUCGGAAUUACUGGGCGUAAAGGGCGCGUAGGCGGACAGUUUAGUCAGCGUUGAAAGCCCAUGGCUCAACCUUGGAAUUGCCUUGGAUACUGGCUGUCUUGAGUACGGGAGAGGUGAUUGGAACUCCGAGUGUAGAGGUGAAAUUCGUAGAUAUUCGGAAGAACACCAGUGGCGAAGGCGACUCACUGGCCCGUUACUGACGCUGAGGCGCGAAAGCGUGGGGAGCAAACAGGAUUAGAUACCCCGGUAGUCC